RNAcentral lists this unclassified non-coding RNA (323 nucleotides) under plant metagenome. Its description in RNAcentral is "partial contains 5.8S ribosomal RNA, internal transcribed spacer 2, and large subunit ribosomal RNA". The stretch from base 1 to 105 matches the Rfam family "5.8S ribosomal RNA", at positions 50 to 154 of the family's 154-position model. The record is from RNAcentral.
GAAAUGCGAUACGUAAUGUGAAUUGCAGAAUUCAGUGAAUCAUCGAGUCUUUGAACGCACAUUGCGCCCCCUGGUAUUCCGGGGGGCAUGCCUGUCCGAGCGUCAUUGCUGCCCUCAAGCACGGCUUGUGUGUUGGGCCCCGUCCCCCCCCCAAGGGGACGGGCCCGAAAGGCAGCGGCGGCACCGUGUCCGGUCCUCGAGCGUAUGGGAAGCAACUUUUUGUCACCCGCUCCUGUAGGUCCGGCCGGCGGCCUGCCCAACCCCAACCUUUUUUUCAACCAGGUUGACCUCGGAUCAGGUAGGGAUACCCGCUGAACUUAAGC